Molecule: ribosomal RNA, 496 nt
Filed under: uncultured bacterium
Lineage: Bacteria
Description: partial 16S ribosomal RNA
Rfam family: Bacterial small subunit ribosomal RNA
Source: RNAcentral
AUGAACGCUGGCGGCGUGCCUAAUACAUGCAAGUCGAGCGCACAGACGAGGAGCUUGCUCCUCUGACGUUAGCGGCGGACGGGUGAGUAACACGUGGAUAACCUACCUAUAAGACUGGGAUAACUUCGGGAAACCGGAGCUAAUACCGGAUAAUAUAUUGAACCGCAUGGUUCAAUAGUGAAAGACGGUUUUGCUGUCACUUAUAGAUGGAUCCGCGCCGCAUUAGCUAGUUGGUAAGGUAACGGCUUACCAAGGCAACGAUGCGUAGCCGACCUGAGAGGGUGAUCGGCCACACUGGAACUGAGACACGGUCCAGACUCCUACGGGAGACAGCAGUAGGGAAUCUUCCGCAAUGGGCGAAAGCCUGACGGAGCAACGCCGCGUGAGUGAUGAAGGUCUUCGGAUCGUAAAACUCUGUUAUUAGGGAAGAACAAAUGUGUAAGUAACUAUGCACGUCUUGACGGUACCUAAUCAGAAAGCCACGGCUAACUACGUG